CUCACAGCAGCAGGUGGGGACAGGUCCCCCCGGUCCUUGGGGCUGAGGGGUGGGGAUCUGAUGUGAGUGCAGAGGGGGCCCUGAAGGGUUUACUCAGGGAGAGAACAUGAUGGGAGUACUCACAGCCAUCACUCUGUCAGUGGAGUGAGGAUGAGUGGGGUCGGGAGACCAGCUAGGAACUGCCCAGGAUCGAGAACCAGAGUGACGAGCAUGUCUCGAGGGGGCAGCAGUGCACUGGAGUCGGCCCGAGUCAGCCUGAACUGAGGGGGAAGGUUCAGAAAUUUUGUCAGCCCAUUGUUUACCACAGGCGUUAUUAAAUAUUAUUAUGUUAACUUGUGAUGAGAUAAAUUACAUUAAAAACAAAGGGAACAAAUACUCAAAAC
RNAcentral lists this long non-coding RNA (383 nucleotides) under Chinchilla lanigera (long-tailed chinchilla). Its description in RNAcentral is "lncRNA (ENSCLAG00000029014.1)". Lineage: Eukaryota; Metazoa; Chordata; Mammalia; Rodentia; Chinchillidae. The record is from RNAcentral.